This is a long non-coding RNA of Drosophila ananassae, 511 nucleotides long. RefSeq lists it as uncharacterized. The record is from RefSeq and is a predicted model, not a curated record. NCBI's taxonomy places the organism in Eukaryota, Metazoa, Arthropoda, Insecta, Diptera, Drosophilidae. The transcript is spliced from 3 exons.
CCCGUUCAAAGUUGAUUAGCAUCCCCUGGGGGGAGGAAGAUAUAGGUUUCUAUAGCAUACCUUUGGGGUGGCACCAUUAAAUGGCUUUCCUUGGAACUCCUUUGAUGGAAGCGACACCCACAUACCUCAUGUGUCAAGGUCACGGAGCACGUCCCCCUACCUUGAGGUAGGAAUUUCGAGCAACUCCGCAAACACGUUGAGUGGCAAUAAAAACUGCUUGAAAGCGCCACGGAAAUGGCGCAUUAGUGUUUGCCACUUAAUGUGGCAAUCGUCCCCCUGCCCCUCAGUGGUAACUUGUUGAGCCGACACCCUUUAUCAACACGCAAUAUGCAAAUUUUGGCCAGCGCCUGGCGUUUUUGUCACUACAAUUUCCCCUCAAUUAGGAUGAAUGAAUAUGAAUAUGUGUCUCUGAUCACUGGGAGAAAAAUUGAGAUUCAUGAAAGCACUCACCCUUGGGCGGCGAUGAAUGGUAGUAGAGUCCUUGGAAUCUUCUCCGUCGCUUUGGUGGCAU